UUGGGGUUAAAACAUGAAAAAUUGGGGUUAAAAUGUGAAAAAACCCAGGAAAUUUGCCCAAAUUUUCACGUAAAUGGUGAAAUUUUUGUUGGUGGGCGUGUCCCUCCUUGACCACGCCCCCUUUUUUUUUGUCCCCUCCCCCCAGACCCCUCCCCCGACAACGGUCGGUUCCGGGAGCUGUCGUGGCGGGUGGGGGUGGGCACCGUCCUGCACGGAUUCGCCGGAUACUUCGAGACCACCCUCUACCGUGACGUCACCCUCAGUAUCCGUCCCGAGAGUCACAGCCCGGGGCUCUUUUCCUGGUUCCCCAUCUUCUUCCCCAUCAAGCAACCCCUGGCGGUGCGGGCGGGCGAGACGGUGUCGGUGGCGUUCUGGCGCGUGGCCACGCCCCACAAGGUGUGGUACGAGUGGGCGGUGACCGAGCCCGCCUGCUCCGCCCUCCACAACCCCAACGGCCGCUCCUACACCAUCGGCCUCUGAGGACACGCCCACCACGGGGGGGAGGCCACGCCCACCAGAGGGAGGCCACGCCCACCAGAGGGAGGCCACGCCCACCACGAGGGAGGCCACACCCCCUUUGUGGAAGCCACGCCCGUUUUAUGUUGGAAACACCCCUAUUAUUUUGUUGGCCACGCCCACCCAAGGCCACCCCCACCACGAGGAAAGGCCACGCCCACUUUGUGGAAGCCACGCCCAUUUUAUGUUCGAAACACCCCUACCAUGACAGAGGCCACGCCCACCCAGAGGGAGGCCACACCCACUUUGUGGAAGCCACGCCCAUUUUAUGUUGGAAACACCCCUAUUAUUAUGUUGGCCACACCCACCCGAGGCCACGCCCACUUUGUGGAGGCCACACCCACCACGAUGGAGGCCACACCCACUUUGUGGAAGCCACACCCAUUUUAUGUUGGAAACACCCCUACCAUGAUGGAGGCCACGCCCACUCGAGGCCACACCCACCAUGAGGGAGACCACAUCCACUUUGUGGAAGCCACGCCCAUUUUAUGUUGGAAACACCCCUACCAUGAUGGAGGCCACGCCCACCCAAGGCCACACCCACUUUGUGGAAGCCACGCCCACUUUGUGGAAGCCACACCCACUUUGUGAAAGCCACGCCCAUUUUAUGUUGGAAACACCCCUACUAUGAUGGAGGCCACACCCACUUUGUGGAAGCCACGCCCAUUUUAUGUUGGAAACACCCCUACUAUGAUGGAAGCCACGCCCACCCAAUGCCACACCCACCAUGGUGGAGGCCACACCUGCUUUGUGAAAGCCACACCCAUUUUAUGUUAGAAAAACACCCCUAUUAUGUUGGCCACGCCCACCCGAGGCCACGCCCACUUUGUGGAAGCCACACCCACUUUGUGGGAGCCACACCCAUUUUGUGUUGGAAACACCCUUGUUGUGAUGGAGGCCACGCCCACUUCUCGAUGGAGGCCACGCCCACUUUGUGGAAGCCACGCCCAUUUUAUGUUGGAAACACCCCUACCCUGAUGGAGGCCCCGCCCACUUCUUGAUGGAGGCCACGCCCACCUCUUGAUGGAGGCCCCACCCACUUUUGGAUUGAGGCCACGCCCACUGGGUGGAGGCCACGCCCCCCCCAAUAAAAGGAAUGAUUGGAUUGGG
Long non-coding RNA from Myiozetetes cayanensis, 1626 nucleotides. RefSeq lists it as uncharacterized. The record is from RefSeq and is a predicted model, not a curated record. The transcript is spliced from 3 exons. Lineage: Eukaryota; Metazoa; Chordata; Aves; Passeriformes; Tyrannidae.